CAUUGUCAAUGAUGAAGUUUACAUCUUAACCUACAUUGUUUGAUCUUAUGUGAGAAAAAAAACACUGUUAACUGAGACAAUG
Molecule: small nucleolar RNA, 82 nt
Organism: Asterias rubens (European starfish)
Lineage: Eukaryota; Metazoa; Echinodermata; Asteroidea; Forcipulatida; Asteriidae
Product: small nucleolar RNA SNORD34
Exons: 1
Source: RefSeq, a predicted model, not a curated record